Peromyscus leucopus (white-footed mouse) is the source of this 567-nucleotide long non-coding RNA. RefSeq lists it as uncharacterized. The transcript has 2 exons. NCBI's taxonomy places the organism in Eukaryota, Metazoa, Chordata, Mammalia, Rodentia, Cricetidae. The record is from RefSeq and is a predicted model, not a curated record.
UUUGUGACGUCACAAUGUUUUCCAGAGUUCUAGGUCACGGCCACCUGACUUUCAAAGUCACAAGUUAAAGCCUGUGUUCAUCCUGAGCAGACUGUACAGAAGAGGUUUCUGCCACAACAACCUGCCAUUUAGAGAGAAUGGAGCAGGCAGGGCAUUGUAGACUGCCUGAGACAGCCCAGCAGUCUGGCCAGGUGUGGCUCUUUGAGGGUAAAGACGGUUGUGCUCAGAAGAGAGAAACCUGCUCCUGAGUGUUCUGACCCGCGCUCAAGUGUGAAGCGGCAGGUGUAAGGGGCCGGAGAUGCCAAGCCUCACCUAAGGCAGGACCCAUUUCUCUCCUGAGCUUUACCUCCCCGCCGCCCCCCACCGCCCACCGCGCCACAGACACCCUGUUAUGCCACUACCCCUCCGCAUCUGUUGCACCCUGUUUUUGCUGCCCUGGUUUUGUGUCGGGGGAUCUUCCUGGGCCGGGUGAACAUCGCCGUGAAGCUCAGUGGCUCUGUGCUUAACGACUUCAUUUUUCACCGCCACCCUUCUAAUAAAAGCUGUUUGAAGAAGGAGGGAUUUGAA